This 503-nucleotide ribosomal RNA is filed under the name uncultured bacterium. Its description in RNAcentral is "partial 16S ribosomal RNA". It matches the Rfam family "Bacterial small subunit ribosomal RNA", at positions 355 to 874 of the family's 1533-position model. The record is from RNAcentral.
UGGGGAAUAUUGGACAAUGGGGGGCAACCCCCGAUCCAGCCAUGCCGCGUGAGUGAUGAAGGCCUUCGGGUUGUAAAGCUCUUUUGGCGGGGACGAUGAUGACGGUACCCGCAGAAUAAGCCCCGGCUAACUUCGUGCCAGCAGCCGCGGUAAGACGAAGAGGGCUAGCGUUGUUCGGAAUUACUGGGCGUAAAGCGAGUGUAGGCGGUUGCCGCAGUCAGGUGUGAAAGCCUUGAGCUCAACUCAAGAAAUGCACUUGAUACUGGGUGACUAGAGGACCGGAGAGGAUAGUGGAAUUCCCAGUGUAGUGGUGAAAUACGUAGAGAUUGGGAAGAACACCAGUGGCGAAGGCGGCUAUCUGGACGGUUACUGACGCUAAGACUCGAAAGCGUGGGGAGCAAACAGGAUUAGAUACCCUGGUAGUCCACGCCGUAAACGAUGGGUGCUAGACGUUGGCGAGCUUGCUCGUCAGUGUCGCAGCUAACGCGUUAAGCACCCCGCCU